RNAcentral lists this ribosomal RNA (450 nucleotides) under uncultured bacterium. RNAcentral describes it as "bacterial SSU rRNA". It matches the Rfam family "Bacterial small subunit ribosomal RNA", at positions 328 to 793 of the family's 1533-position model. The record is from RNAcentral.
UCAGUCGACUCCUACGGGAGGCAGCAGUGGGGAAUAUUGCACAAUGGGCGCAAGCCUGAUGCAGCAACGCCGUGUGAGUGAAGAAGGUUUUCGGAUCGUAAAACUCUGUCCUAAGGGAAGAAACAAAUGACGGUACCUUAGGAGGAAGCCCCGGCUAACUACGUGCCAGCAGCCGCGGUAAUACGUAGGGGGCAAGCGUUAUCCGGAAUCACUGGGCGUAAAGGGUGCGUAGGCGGCUUAGCAAGCCAGGGGUGAAAGGCAUUGGCUCAACCAAUGUAAGCCUUUGGAACUGUUAAGCUUGAGUGCAGGAGAGGUAAGUGGAAUUCCUAGUGUAGAGGUGAAAUUCGUAGAUAUUAGGAGGAACACCAGUGGCGAAGGCGACUUACUGGACUGUAACUGACGCUGAUGCACGAAAGCGUGGGUAGCGAACAGGAUUAGAUACCCUGGUAG